RNA transcript from Parus major (Great Tit), 4951 nucleotides. It is a transcript of the gene named WD repeat domain 48, with no coding region annotated. The transcript has 20 exons. Lineage: Eukaryota; Metazoa; Chordata; Aves; Passeriformes; Paridae. The record is from RefSeq and is a predicted model, not a curated record.
GGCACUUCCGGUCGGACAUGACGCCACAGUGUCAACAUGCAAGAUGGCGGCGCAUCACCGGCAGAACACGGCGGGGCGGCGGAAAGUACAGGUUUCCUAUGUGAUUAGAGAUGAAGUGGAGAAGUACAACCGGAACGGGGUAAAUGCUCUUCAGCUGGACCCAGCAUUAAACAGACUCUUCACGGCAGGGCGGGACUCCAUCAUAAGGAUAUGGAGUGUCAAUCAGCACAAGCAAGACCCUUACAUAGCAUCUAUGGAACAUCACACAGAUUGGGUAAAUGACAUUGUGCUCUGCUGCAAUGGCAAAACAUUGAUAUCUGCUUCUUCAGAUACUACUGUUAAAGUGUGGAAUGCACAUAAGGGAUUUUGCAUGUCAACACUAAGGACGCAUAAGGACUAUGUGAAAGCCUUAGCAUAUGCAAAAGAUAAGGAGCUGGUAGCAUCUGCUGGGCUGGACAGACAGAUAUUCCUCUGGGAUGUAAAUACUCUCACAGCACUGACUGCCUCAAAUAAUACUGUCACAACUUCUUCCCUGAGUGGGAACAAGGACUCAAUCUACAGCCUUGCAAUGAAUCAAAUGGGAACAGUUAUUGUAUCAGGGUCCACUGAAAAGGUUCUAAGGGUGUGGGAUCCAAGGACUUGUGCAAAACUAAUGAAACUCAAAGGGCACACAGACAAUGUCAAAGCUUUGUUGCUGAACAGAGAUGGCACCCAGUGUCUUUCAGGCAGCUCUGAUGGUACAAUCCGCCUGUGGUCCCUUGGGCAGCAGAGGUGCAUAGCCACAUACCGAGUCCAUGAUGAAGGUGUUUGGGCUCUGCAGGUCAAUGAAGCCUUCACUCAUGUUUAUUCAGGAGGAAGAGACAGGAAGAUUUAUUGUACAGAUUUACGAAAUCCUGAUAUCCGGGUGCUGAUCUGUGAAGAAAAGGCACCAGUUCUUAAGAUGGAACUGGAUAGAUCAGCUGACCCUCCUCCUGCACUUUGGGUUGCAACAACUAAAUCCUCUGUGAAUAAAUGGACUUUGAAGGGAAUCCAUAAUUUUAGAGCAUCAGGAGAUUAUGAUAAUGAUUGUACCAAUCCCAUACCACCCUUGUGUACACAGCCUGACCAAGUUAUAAAAGGGGGUGCUAGUAUUAUUCAGUGCCACAUUCUUAAUGACAAGAGGCACAUAUUAACCAAAGACACAAAUAAUAAUGUGGCAUACUGGGAUGUCUUGAAGGCAUGUAAAGUGGAAGACCUGGGAAAAGUAGAUUUUGAAGAGGAAAUUAAGAAGAGAUUUAAAAUGGUUUAUGUGCCAAACUGGUUCUCAGUGGACUUGAAAACCGGGAUGUUGACAAUUACUUUGGAUGAAAGUGACUGCUUUGCAGCCUGGGUGUCAGCAAAGGAUGCUGGAUUUAGCAGUCCUGAUGGUUCUGAUCCAAAAUUAAACCUUGGAGGGCUUCUGCUGCAAGCAUUGCUGGAGUAUUGGCCUAGAACACAUAUAAAUCCAAUGGAUGAAGAAGAAAAUGAGAUAAACCAUGUGAAUGGGGAGCAGGAGAACAGAGUCCAGAAAGGAAAUGGAUACUUCCAAGUGCCACCACAUACACCAGUUAUUUUUGGUGAGGCUGGAGGACGCACUUUGUUCAGGUUGUUAUGUCGGGAUUCAGGGGGUGAAACAGAAUCCAUGCUUCUUAAUGAAACCGUGCCACAAUGGGUAAUUGACAUCACUGUGGAUAAAAAUAUGCCCAAGUUCAAUAAGAUUCCCUUCUACCUCCAACCUCAUUCAUCAUCAGGGGCAAAAACUCUAAAAAAAGACCGGCUGUCAGCCAGUGACAUGCUUCAGGUGAGAAAAGUGAUGGAACACGUGUAUGAGAAAAUCAUCAACUUGGAUAAUGAGUCUCAGACAACGAGCUCCUCCAACAAUGAGAAAGCAGGAGAACAAGAAAAGGAGGAAGACAUUGCUGUGCUAGCAGAGGAGAAGAUUGAACUUCUGUGCCAGGACCAGGUUUUGGACCCCAACAUGGACCUUCGAACUGUAAAGCACUUCAUCUGGAAGAGUGGCGGGGACCUGACGCUUCACUACCGCCAGAAAUCAACGUGAGGGCAGCACGGACCCAGAGCAGUCAUCAUUUACUUGACCUUGCUGUGCUGGUUCCAAGAGUAGUUCUAGAGCAGCCCUCUAAGGAGCUCAUCUACAGCAAGUGUAAAACCUGUCAGCAGGAGAGAUCAGUACCUUCCUUCUCCACCCCAAGCUCCAUUGGGAGUCACAACUACCUCUCGGAUGGAAUCUGCUUCAGUGUUAUAAACCAUCAGCUUCAGUGGCUUCCCCUCAUGGGAUUCAAUCAGGGAAAAGAAAUCCUCUGACUAUGGAAAAAACAGGAAGAAAGUAGUAGUUAAUAAACCCAAAUGUCAAAGUCAACAUUUUACACAGUUAUUUACUCAAUGUCAGACAUUAAAUACCCAGAGACAGAAAAAUCACCAAUGUAGUUUGAUCUUUAGUGGCAACUUAUUUUUAUUGUCAGACCAAAAAGAAAGAUGUUUACCUUAACCAUAAAGUUUCUGUCAUAAACAUCAGCCUUCCACAAUCCCCCCCCACAUGUUUGAUCAGAUUUAUACCAAACCCAAACCCUACAACAAACACUUGGUAGGCACAAAGACAAUCACUCUGUGUUGGAAGGAACAUGCACCCACCUCCUGAAGAAUCUGAUCAGAUCCAACAAUGUAGUCACUGUAUGGCUGGAGACCAGCCAGAGCCGCAGGAGACGAAGGCUCAACGUCCUGUGAAAGAGUGACACGAGUCAUCUGCACCCACAGCAGGGUAAACUACCAUGAACAAAAAGAAGAGCUAACUUCCAGAGCAAGGAAGGAAAGAGCAUGUUGUUAAUGGCAUAAAAAAGAAACUCUUGGAAUAGUCUACAUCUAUGUGUGACAUCCUGUAAAAGAUGCUAAGUAAGAAAGAUGUAAAACAUGGUAAGAAAAUUCUUACUCCUCUGAACAUGUUGAGAAAUUGCAUUUACUUAAGCAACCAGAAACAUAAACAUUCUUUCCUAUUCAGUUCUACUCUUUCAGCUCUUCCUCUUAAUUUUAAAAUAAAUUUGUGGUGCUAUUUGUAAUAUUACUUUAAUGAAGUUUAGCCAAGACAGAGACAAUCAGGCCAGAAUCUUUUUUGCUUUUGCCAUUGAUUCUUCAACAUAAAAUGAAAAAACCCUUCCCACCUAUCCUGUUUGGUCCAGUUGGGAUGGAGUUACUUUUGUCACUGGGAACCCUGACAGCCAACCCACUUCUUGUCCCUACUCAAAUAGCUCAGACAAACCUUCAGGACUGUGUUCCCUUCCUCUGUGUGACUGUGUUGCUGUACUUUACACUAUGGCUAAACAUCACACUGUAAAACAAGGUUACACAACCAAUAAUGAGCCAGCCAAGGAUUCCUCCUCACCAGAACGUGCCACACGUGUUCAUUGGCUCCCUGGAAGCUGCAGAACCUCACGCUGGCUCCAAGGAGGCCUUGUCCUCCCCACAUGUUACUGGGGAUCACCUCCACCUCUCGGAUUUUCAUUGUUUUGAUGUUAUACACCUCCAGCUUCACUGCUUUCUCAGCAUUUGCCUUCAGCAGGUCUUUCAACAUAUUGUUUUCCUUGUUCUGUAGAGCAGAGAUACAGGAUUAACAUUAUUUCCAGUUGCACCUGUAAUAUCUGUGGCAGAAUUUGAAUACAAAGAACCAAAAGUAUGAAAGUUUAGGCUCUGUGGUUCACAAACUAUCCCAGCAAUUUCCAAUUCAAUUUUCUUUUACUAUAAAGCAGUCAGUACUGUCAACACACAUCCCUUUACAUAAAUACUUCCUGUUAUUCCAUUUCAUCACUGGCAUUUCUGUCCUUCACAACUGCUAUUAAAUAAUACCAGCAGUAUCAGAUGUCGACUGCAUUUAACAAUGAGCAGCAACAUUUCACUUCAUGUCUCUGAGCCUCAUCCCUCUUCAACAGCCCUUCAAAGUCACUGCAAACUGACUGUGAAAGAAUAUCUUCAUUUCUGUCAUGUUAGAAGAUUAAUUACCUUCCCCCAAAUCUGCCCUUAUAAUGAUCACUUCUAAAAAAGACAUCUCAUGAAACCAAGACAAAACUUAAUGAAUUCAGCUUGUAUUUGGUUAGGGUGGAGCAUACAAGGUAAAGCCCCAAUCAAAACUCAGAAAAACCCCACCAGACCAAAACUCAGCUCUUCUCUCAUAACACACAGGAACUGUGUUCUUUGUCUUGAAAGUACAAGUAGACAGGCUAUGAUUCUUUUCCGUGUUUUAUCAAAUGUUGAAACUAUUUUGUUUAAACAAAUACUGAGCUCUGACUAUUGACUCACUAGUUCAGUAUUCACAAAUGAGUACAAAUGAGCAACAACAUAAACAUUGUGUUAACCUGUUAAGAAGUUAAGGUGAGUAAAGGCAUAAACAAAAGCUUUCCUUCAAACUUGGAUCCAGCCAAAGCGACUUUGAACACCUUCAAAUUUUACUUUACUUUUAAUGUCCAAUGUGAAAAGUUUCUCUGCUUGUGCCAGUUAUGGCUUUUACCUUUCAUCAUCAUUACAGCACCCACAGUUCAUGGAGGGUGGAAAAAAACACUGAAAUUGUUUGAGACUUACAAGCCUUGUGUGUCCUAUGGCAAUGAUGAAAUCAAAGAAAGGUUCCAGUCCUCCUUGUUGGGCUGGGGAAUUCUCUUGGACCUGCAGAACAUACAUUUUAUCAUUAUUCUACACUGAUCUCCAGUUACAUAAGUGAAGGUGUUAAUCUUUACACUUGAUUCAAUAUUUACUUUUGAGCUGAGCCAGAGAUAAGGCACCCAAUGACUGCCCUCAAUCUUACUUUUAUAAAACUAUGAACAGAUAUCCAAAUGAAGCUGUAAAAGCAGGUUUUGAACCCCAUUUAAGACAUAAAUGUUGUGAUUCAGAGUUCACAGCUUGGAAUUAUUAAAUGCUGAAUACUUUGGAGAAA